CGUCUGUAACGCACCUGUUUUUUAUGCUUAUCAAUCACAGUGUCACGGAUCUACCGCGCGGAACGCCAACCAUAUAGCUAGGUGGCGCAGAAUAAAUGGUGCCGUCGAUGCCGUGAAAGUGAAACAUGUCGGUUUCCCGGAUUGCAAUUGAGUCAGUGAAAGGUGUGUCAAGCUGCGUCCCUAUAUUUUCUCUACUUCAGCAGAGAGUCUGAAUCCGUCCGUUUGGUAUCACUUGGUGAUAAAAAAAUCGGAAAACUUUACACGUUUACAGCUUUCCUAUAUUCAUGAUAUAAAUUACUUCCCUCAUUUUAUUCAAACUUCUGUGAGCUAGAUAAAUAGCACAAAAAAUUGUCGAGUAUAAAGCUAUCGAGUCGAUGUUAGACUACACUUGUAUUU
Daphnia pulicaria is the source of this 396-nucleotide long non-coding RNA. RefSeq lists it as uncharacterized. Lineage: Eukaryota; Metazoa; Arthropoda; Branchiopoda; Diplostraca; Daphniidae. The record is from RefSeq and is a predicted model, not a curated record. The transcript is spliced from 2 exons.